This 533-nucleotide ribosomal RNA is filed under the name uncultured bacterium. RNAcentral describes it as "bacterial SSU rRNA". It matches the Rfam family "Bacterial small subunit ribosomal RNA", at positions 976 to 1509 of the family's 1533-position model. The record is from RNAcentral.
UGGCCUUGACAUACUAAGAACUUUCCAGAGAUGGAUUGGUGCCUUCGGGAACUUAGAUACAGGUGCUGCAUGGCUGUCGUCAGCUCGUGUCGUGAGAUGUUGGGUUAAGUCCGCAACGAGCGCAACCCUUUUCCUUAUUUGCCAGCGGGUCAUGCCGGGAACUUUAAGGAUACUGCCAGUGACAAACUGGAGGAAGGCGGGGACGACGUCAAGUCAUCAUGGCCCUUACGGCCAGGGCUACACACGUGCUACAAUGGUCGGUACAAAGGGUUGCUACCUCGCGAGAGGAUGCUAAUCUCAAAAAGCCGAUCGUAGUCCGGAUCGCAGUCUGCAACUCGACUGCGUGAAGUCGGAAUCGCUAGUAAUCGCGGAUCAGAAUGCCGCGGUGAAUACGUUCCCGGGCCUUGUACACACCGCCCGUCACACCAUGGGAGUUUGUUGCACCAGAAGUAGGUAGUCUAACCGCAAGGAGGACGCUUACCACGGUGUGGCCGACGACUGGGGUGAAGUCGUAACAAGGUAGGCGUAGAUGA